Homo sapiens (human) is the source of this 675-nucleotide long non-coding RNA. RefSeq lists it as uncharacterized. The record is from RefSeq and is a predicted model, not a curated record. Lineage: Eukaryota; Metazoa; Chordata; Mammalia; Primates; Hominidae. The transcript has 5 exons.
CAGAGACAGGCAGGAUUUCAAAGUGGCACAGGAGACGUUUGGGAGUUUUGCAUAUGCACCAGCAAGGCUCUUGGAUCAAGCCCUACAGCAGAAAGCAAGCAGUAUGUGGUGCCGUGGAAGCAAGAUGCUAAGAAAAUACACCUGCGAACAGUGAUGUAUCAAUGGCUGGAGCGAGACAGGAGAGGAGGAACAGGAGGAGGAGAGUGAGAGAAACUGAUUGCCAACCUUAGUCCAGUGAAAACUUUGCUCCGAUAAUAUUUCCUUGGCCUGACCAAUCCAGAUCAACAAUCCUCUUCUUUGGUGAUUGAAUAAGGGAAGAAGCUCUGCUGGGUGACCUUGAACACAUCACUUCACUUCCUUGAGCUUCAAUAUACCUGCCAUCAAAUGGGAACAAUCAUGUUUACCUCCCUGAAUAGUCAAGAGGAUUAAAUUAAAUAGUGAGGAAUACUAACAGAUGCAAUUUUAUCUUCAACUCCAAGUCUACGUCACUGAUGCCAUUUCCACUUCUCUCAACUUCAUCAUCAGCAUUUAAAGUAACCCAGCCUGCCUGCUAUUCUCUUUUCAGUCCAAGACUUUCCUAGGCACUCCCUCCUUCAUCCUUCACUCCCAGUCAUGGUUUUCCUCUGGGGGAGGCAUUUCCUGGACAGGUUCUGUUUGGUUUUGUUGUAGACAGAG